RNAcentral lists this long non-coding RNA (922 nucleotides) under Callithrix jacchus (white-tufted-ear marmoset). RNAcentral's name for it is "lncRNA (ENSCJAG00000078546.1)". The record is from RNAcentral. Lineage: Eukaryota; Metazoa; Chordata; Mammalia; Primates; Cebidae.
AGUCAAUCUAGUUUUUUACACAACAGAUUCAUGAUUUGUGGCAUUAAAUUGAUCAGGUGUUACCUUUUCAUGCAUUUAAAUAGUAAGAUUUUCACUUCACAUCCCAAAGGUAAGUAUAGACAUAUUCUCAGAAAUAUUUCAUUUUCUCUUACAGCUUUCAUAAAAAUACCACUAAAAGCAUUAAACAUUUGGAUGAAAACCAAGUUUCUGAAGAGCUUACAAUGGCAAGCGAUAAGGUGCCAGGCUGGAAUGCAGUGGUGCAAUCCUAGCUCUCUGUAACCUCUGCUUCCCGGGUUCAAGCAAUUCUCCUGCCUCAGCCUCCUGAGUAGCUGGGACUACAGGCAUGCGCCACCACACCCAGCUAAUUUUUGUAUUUUUUUUUUUUUUUUUUUUUUUUUUAGUAGAGAUGGGGUUUCACCAUGUUGGCCAGGAUGGUCUCGAUUUCUUGACCUUGUGAUCCGCCCGACUUGGUCUCCCAAAGUGCGGGGAUUACAGGUGUGAGCCACCGCGUCUGGCCGAUUCUUUUUUGUUUGUUUGUUUGUUUUUUGAGACGGAGUUUCGCUCUUUUCACCCAGGCUGGAGUGCAAUGGUGUGAUCUCGGCUCACCGCAACCUCCGCCUCCUGGAUUCAGGCAAAUCUCCUGCCUCAGCCUCCUGAGUAGCUGGGAUUACAGGCACAUGCCACCUUGCCCAGCUAAUUUUUUGUAUUUUUAGUAGAGACGGGGUUUCACCAUGUUGACCAGGAUGGUCUCGAUCUCUUGACCUCGUGAUCCACCUGCCUCGGCCUCCCAAAGUGCUGGGAUUACAGGCUUGAGCCACCGUGCCCGGCCCCGAUUCAAUUCUUAAUUUCUUAAAUUUUAUUUUAUUUACAAUGAAAUACUUUUGCUUACUAAUAAAAGGUUAAGAUAGUAAUACAAUUUUAC